RNAcentral lists this ribosomal RNA (567 nucleotides) under Acinetobacter gyllenbergii. RNAcentral's name for it is "bacterial SSU rRNA". It matches the Rfam family "Bacterial small subunit ribosomal RNA", at positions 332 to 888 of the family's 1533-position model. Lineage: Bacteria; Pseudomonadati; Pseudomonadota; Gammaproteobacteria; Moraxellales; Moraxellaceae. The record is from RNAcentral.
AAGUUUCCUACGGGAAGCAGCAGUGGGGAAUAUUGGACAAUGGGCGGAAGCCUGAUCCAGCCAUGCCGCGUGUGUGAAGAAGGCCUUUUGGUUGUAAAGCACUUUAAGCGAGGAGGAGGCUACUAGUACUAAUACUACUGGAUAGUGGACGUUACUCGCAGAAUAAGCACCGGCUAACUCUGUGCCAGCAGCCGCGGUAAUACAGAGGGUGCGAGCGUUAAUCGGAUUUACUGGGCGUAAAGCGUGCGUAGGCGGCUUUUUAAGUCGGAUGUGAAAUCCCCGAGCUUAACUUGGGAAUUGCAUUCGAUACUGGGAAGCUAGAGUAUGGGAGAGGAUGGUAGAAUUCCAGGUGUAGCGGUGAAAUGCGUAGAGAUCUGGAGGAAUACCGAUGGCGAAGGCAGCCAUCUGGCCUAAUACUGACGCUGAGGUACGAAAGCAUGGGGAGCAAACAGGAUUAGAUACCCUGGUAGUCCAUGCCGUAAACGAUGUCUACUAGCCGUUGGGGCCUUUGAGGCUUUAGUGGCGCAGCUAACGCGAUAAUGUAGCAAUCUCUGGGGAAAUCCGUCG